This 273-nucleotide ribosomal RNA is filed under the name uncultured bacterium. Its description in RNAcentral is "partial small subunit ribosomal RNA". It matches the Rfam family "Bacterial small subunit ribosomal RNA", at positions 26 to 282 of the family's 1533-position model. The record is from RNAcentral.
AGAAUCAACGCUGGCGGCGUGCCUCAGACAUGCAAGUCGAACGCGAAAGUUUCCUUCGGGAAACAAGUAGAGUGGCGCACGGGUGAGUAACACGUAGGUAAUCUACCUUUGGAUGGGGAAUAACAACCGGAAACGGUUGCUAAUACCGCAUAAUGCAGCGGCACCUAAUGGUGACAGUUGUUAAAGCGGGGGAUCGAAAGACCUCGCGUCUAAAGAGGAGCCUGCGGCGGAUUAGCUAGUUGGUAAGGUAACGGCUUACCAAGGCUACGAUCC